AUUGAACGCUGGCGGCAGGCCUAACACAUGCAAGUCGAACGAGUGGCGGAAGGGUGAGUAAUGUCUGGGAAACUGCCCGAUGGAGGGGGCUAACUACUGGAAACGGUAGCUAAUACCGCAUACCAUCGGAUGUGCCCAGGUGGGAUUUGCAAGGAGGUGGGGUAACGGCUCACCUAGGCGACGAUCCCUAGCUGGUCUGAGAGGAUGACCAGCCACACUGGAACUGAGACACGGUCCAGACUCAUACGGGAGGCAGCAGUGGGGAAUAUUGCACAAUGGGCGCAAGCCUGAUGCAGCCAUGCCGCGUGUAUGAAGAAGGCCUUCGGGUUGUAAAGUACUUUCAGCGAGGAGGCGUUACUCGCAGAGGAAGCACCGGCUAACUCCGUGCCAGCCGCCGCGGUAAUUC
RNAcentral lists this ribosomal RNA (406 nucleotides) under uncultured bacterium. Its description in RNAcentral is "partial 16S ribosomal RNA". It matches the Rfam family "Bacterial small subunit ribosomal RNA", at positions 30 to 526 of the family's 1533-position model. The record is from RNAcentral.